AAUGUUACUAGGGAGCUUUCUUCAGUCCAGUCCGAGGUGGUUCGAGGGCUGAUUACACAACUGCUGGCUCGUUUGUUCACGAACUCGUCGCAAAUUUAUUAUAAGGUCUAAGAUGAGUUUCUGAUCGAACGAUGCAGGGGUUGUGUUCAGUUAUUGCCGUCGCGUCUUGGACUGAAGGGAGCUCCCAAUAUAUACAUA
This 198-nucleotide microRNA precursor is filed under the name Daucus carota subsp. sativus. RNAcentral describes it as "pre miRNA MIR159". It matches the Rfam family "MIR159 microRNA precursor family". The record is from Rfam by way of RNAcentral. Lineage: Eukaryota; Viridiplantae; Streptophyta; Magnoliopsida; Apiales; Apiaceae.